UGGGAGAUAGUUUAACGGUAGAACGCCCGGCUCUGGACCGCGUAGUCCUGGUUCGAAUCCAGGUCUCCCAGCCA
Molecule: transfer RNA, 74 nt
Filed under: bacterium NHP-B
Lineage: Bacteria
Description: tRNA-Gln
Rfam family: tRNA
About the family: Transfer RNA (tRNA) molecules are approximately 80 nucleotides in length. Their secondary structure includes four short double-helical elements and three loops (D, anti-codon, and T loops).
Source: RNAcentral